This 497-nucleotide ribosomal RNA is filed under the name uncultured bacterium. Its description in RNAcentral is "partial 16S ribosomal RNA". It matches the Rfam family "Bacterial small subunit ribosomal RNA", at positions 28 to 507 of the family's 1533-position model. The record is from RNAcentral.
GAUGAGCGCUGGCGGCGUGCCUAAUACAUGCAAGUCGAGCGAACAGACGAGGAGCUUGCUCCUUCGACGUUAGCGGCGGACGGGUGAGUAACACGUAGGUAACCUACCUAUAAGACUGGGAUAACUUCGGGAAACCGGAGCUAAUACCGGAUAAUAUUUCGAACCGCAUGGUUCGAUAGUGAAAGAUGGCUUUGCUAUCACUUAUAGAUGGACCUGCGCCGUAUUAGCUAGUUGGUAAGGUAACGGCUUACCAAGGCAACGAUACGUAGCCGACCUGAGAGGGUGAUCGGCCAAACUGGAACUGAGACACGGUCCAGACUCCUACGGGAGGCAGCAGUAGGGAAUCUUCCGCAAUGGGCGAAAGCCUGACGGAGCAACGCCGCGUGAGUGAUGAAGGUCUUCGGAUCGUAAAACUCUGUUAUUAGGGAAGAACAAACGUGUAAGUAACUGUGCACGUCUUGACGGUACCUAAUCAGAAAGCCACGGCUAACUACGUG